UACGUAGGUGGCAAGCGUUGUCCGGAUUUACUGGGCGUAAAGCGUGCGCAGGCGGUUGUGCAAGACAGAUGUGAAAUCCCCGGGCUCAACCUGGGAACUGCAUUUGUGACUGCACGGCUAGAGUGUGUCAGAGGGGGGUAGAAUUCCACGUGUAGCAGUGAAAUGCGUAGAUAUGUGGAGGAAUACCGAUGGCGAAGGCAGCCCCCUGGGCCAACACUGACGCUCAUGCACGAAAGCGUGGGGAGCAAACAGG
Molecule: ribosomal RNA, 253 nt
Filed under: uncultured bacterium
Lineage: Bacteria
Description: partial 16S ribosomal RNA
Rfam family: Bacterial small subunit ribosomal RNA
Source: RNAcentral